RNAcentral lists this ribosomal RNA (373 nucleotides) under uncultured organism. RNAcentral's name for it is "bacterial SSU rRNA". It matches the Rfam family "Bacterial small subunit ribosomal RNA", at positions 526 to 896 of the family's 1533-position model. The record is from RNAcentral.
CAGAGGUCCCGAGCGUUGUUCGGAUUCACUGGGCGUAAAGGGUGCGUAGGUGGUGAGGUAAGUCGGAUGUGAAAUCUCCGGGCUCAACCCGGAAAUGGCAUUGGAAACUACCUUGCUGGAGGAUUUGAGGGGGGAUUGGAAUACUUGGUGUAGCAGUGAAAUGCGUAGAUAUCAAGUGGAACACCAGUGGCGAAGGCGAAUCCCUGGAAAAUACCUGACACUGAGGCACGAAAGCUAGGGGAGCAAACAGGAUUAGAUACCCUGGUAGUCCUAGCCCUAAACGGUGCUUGCUUGCUGUAAGAGGAAUCGACCCCUCUUGUGGCGGAGCUAACGCGUUAAGCAAGCCGCCUGGGAAGUACGGUCGCAAAGAUUA